RNAcentral lists this ribosomal RNA (116 nucleotides) under Chinchilla lanigera (long-tailed chinchilla). Lineage: Eukaryota; Metazoa; Chordata; Mammalia; Rodentia; Chinchillidae. The record is from RNAcentral.
GUCUACGGCCAUACCACCCUGAACGCGCCCGAUCUCGUCUGAUCUCGGAAGCUAAGCAGGGUCGGGCCUGGUUAGUACUUGGAUGGGAGAUUGAUAGAUACUGGGGAUUGAACUCA